UACGAAGGGGGCGAGCGUUAUUCGGAAUCACUGGGCGUAAAGCGUGUGUAGGCUGUUUGGCAAGUUGGAAGUGAAAGCCCAGGGCUCAACCCUGGAAUUGCUUUCAAAACUGCCAGACUCGAAUCUCGGAGAGGAUAGCGGAAUUUCCAGUGUAGUAGUGAAAUACGUAGAUAUUGGAAGGAACACCAGUGGCGCAAGCGGCUAUCUGGACGAGUAUUGACGCUGAGGCACGAAAGCGUGGGGAUCAAACAGG
Molecule: ribosomal RNA, 253 nt
Filed under: uncultured bacterium
Lineage: Bacteria
Description: partial 16S ribosomal RNA
Rfam family: Bacterial small subunit ribosomal RNA
Source: RNAcentral